RNAcentral lists this ribosomal RNA (253 nucleotides) under uncultured bacterium. Its description in RNAcentral is "partial 16S ribosomal RNA". It matches the Rfam family "Bacterial small subunit ribosomal RNA", at positions 524 to 776 of the family's 1533-position model. The record is from RNAcentral.
UACGAAGGGGGCUAGCGUUGCUCGGAAUCACUGGGCGUAAAGCGCACGUAGGCGGAUCUUUAAGUCAGGGGUGAAAUCCUGGAGCUCAACUCCAGAACUGCCUUUGAUACUGAAGAUCUUGAGUUCGGGAGAGGUGAGUGGAACUGCGAGUGUAGAGGUGAAAUUCGUAGAUAUUCGCAAGAACACCAGUGGCGAAGGCGGCCCACUGGCCCGAUACUGACGCUGAGGCACGAAAGCGUGGGGAGCAAACAGG